GUCAGCAAGAAGCAUUCUGCUCAAUAGAUCCAACAGGUUAAGAAGCGCAAAUCUUGCAGAAAAUAAACAGGACAGGGGAAAAUCUAAGCUUUCGUACUCCCAUGGAUGAGAAAUUCAACCCACAAUGAUCAGCUUAAGGCAAACACUAUUCUAUCCUCAAAAUGCUUUUAAUUGAAAUAGUUCAUAGUUCUAUUACAACAACAACAUAUGAUUCUUGGCAGUCAUCUAGCUUUGUCCAAAUCAAAAUUUUCCAUUGACAUCUGUGAGGUACCAAGCUGACAUGUUGAUUCUAGAUAUUCUAUACUGGCAUGUAGGAAAAUCAUGAACUUGAAAUUCUAAAGUAAAUUCUGGAAAGCAACGAGACCCAGCACAACUGUGAUUUCUAUACUUCUACCAUCAGCUAGUGUUAAUUUAUGCAAGAUCAAAGUAAUGUAAAAAAGAGAACAAAAGAGACAUUGAUCUCUCAUUUCUUAGUCUUGGUUUUCUUUGACACUUGAGCUUUCUUUCUUACUUUCUUUGCAGGCUGCGCUUUUCCUCCGGUUUUACCCUUCUUUUGUACCACUCCAGAUGAUUUCUCAGCUUUUCCUUUAGUUCUUCCAUUUGUCUGUUCUUCAUUGCCUUCAUUU
This 626-nucleotide unclassified non-coding RNA is filed under the name Hevea brasiliensis (rubber tree). Lineage: Eukaryota; Viridiplantae; Streptophyta; Magnoliopsida; Malpighiales; Euphorbiaceae. The record is from RNAcentral.